UACGCUGCUCGCAAGUUCAUUACAUCUAGAAAAGGAAAAAUCAACUGUUGUUGUUGUUGUUGUGGCCAAAGAUGAUUUAGAGCAUUUAUGUUGACUUGUGGAGGAGAAAGAUGGUGGCCCUUCUUGGAUUCAGAUGAUGGAUAGGUCUACACCCAGUUUGAGCUAUCAAGCUUGGCGGAGAGAUCCUGAGAAUGGGCCCCCGCAAUACCGUAGCAGGACAGUCUUUGAGGAUGCCACUCCUGAGAUGGUAAGGGAUUUAUUUUGGGAUGAUGAUUUUCGAUUGAAGUGGGAUGACAUGCUUAUAUAUGCUGAAACUUUGGAAGAGUGCCCCAACACGGGAACCAUGGUAGUUCGGUGGGUACGCAA
Non-coding RNA from Camellia sinensis, 366 nucleotides. NCBI's taxonomy places the organism in Eukaryota, Viridiplantae, Streptophyta, Magnoliopsida, Ericales, Theaceae. The record is from RefSeq and is a predicted model, not a curated record.